GUGGGGAAUAUUGCACAAUGGGCGCAAGCCUGAUGCAGCGACGCCGCGUGGGGGAUGAAGGCCUUCGGGUUGUAAACUCCUUUCGCUACCGACGAAGCCUCUUUGGGGUGACGGUAGGUGGAGAAGAAGCACCGGCUAACUACGUGCCAGCAGCCGCGGUAAUACGUAGGGUGCGAGCGUUGUCCGGAUUUACUGGGCGUAAAGAGCUCGUAGGUGGUUUGUCGCGUCGUCUGUGAAAUUCCGGGGCUUAACUCCGGGCGUGCAGGCGAUACGGGCAUAACUUGAGUGCUGUAGGGGUAACUGGAAUUCCUGGUGUAGCGGUGGAAUGCGCAGAUAUCAGGAGGAACACCGAUGGCGAAGGCAGGUUACUGGGCAGUUACUGACGCUGAGGAGCGAAAGCAUGGGUAGCGAACAGGA
Molecule: ribosomal RNA, 417 nt
Filed under: uncultured bacterium
Lineage: Bacteria
Description: bacterial SSU rRNA
Rfam family: Bacterial small subunit ribosomal RNA
Source: RNAcentral